RNAcentral lists this long non-coding RNA (499 nucleotides) under Gossypium barbadense (sea-island cotton). Its description in RNAcentral is "long non-coding RNA (GBAR_LNC009697)". Lineage: Eukaryota; Viridiplantae; Streptophyta; Magnoliopsida; Malvales; Malvaceae. The record is from RNAcentral.
CUCCUACACCGACCGUUUUCUCCAUAAUCUUUCAAUAUACCUAAGGAAAUCUUUUCUGAUGUGGAAGAUCAGUUUAAACUGCAACCACAGAGCAUACUACGAUUAACCUUCCGCUCUGAUACCACUUGUUGUUCCAAUAGGGUCGGAAGCGUGUAAAUUAUUGUACUAAAAAAUCACACAAAGUUCAAUUCCCAGGGAAGAGAGGUGGAUCACAAGGAUCUCUUAAAUACCAAGUCUUUCCUUAGUCAGAAUAUCCCUUCUAUAGUAAUUUAAUAGCACAAUUAAAUACUACUAUUAUACCCUCAAAUAUUGAAAGAAAAAUAGGACAAAAAAGAACACAAGAGUUUUAACGAGGUUCGGUAAAUUAUACCUACGUCCUCGGGCACUAACACCAGAUGAUAACUUUACUAUCUCCAAAAUAUUACAAACGAAUAGAAUUCCUUAAGAAUUCUCAAAUGGGAGAAGAGAGAAAACUAAGAGAGAAAGAUUGGUUGGGAUG